GAUUGCAGGCUGCAACCCGCCCUGCAUGAAGUCGGAAUUGCUAGUAAUCGCGGAUCAGCAUGCCGCGGUGAAUACGUUCCCGGGCCUUGUACACACCGCCCGUCACACCAUGAGAGUCGGGAACACCCGAAGUCCGUAGCCUAACCGCAAGGGGGGCGCGGCCGAAGGUGGGUUCGAUAAUUGGGGUGAAGUCGUAACAAGGUAUC
Molecule: ribosomal RNA, 206 nt
Filed under: uncultured bacterium
Lineage: Bacteria
Description: partial 16S ribosomal RNA
Rfam family: Bacterial small subunit ribosomal RNA
Source: RNAcentral